AUACAUGUAAAAACAUUGACUCAGCACGCUUGCAACAGGAGCUGUGCAGGACGCUUCAUGAGCACAUAGACAGAAAAUGAGACGGGUGACAAAAUGCCGGCAGGGGAAAGCUAAGCGAGAGAGAAAGAAGGGAUUGAUGAGAAAUGACAGCAUAGACUCGGGCCGGCCCAACAUGGGCCAAAUAAAGGCAAACGUGGAUAUUAGCAGGAAGCUCAGACAGAUCUCUAUGAGUCCUUUCUCUGGCUGUGAGGUGGAUCCAAACCUUCACUGUGCCUUGUGCAAAAUGUUCCGGAAACAAUCAGUCUGCCUGUGGGCUGGUUGGCCGGACACCCUUUAAGAAGCUCAUUUGAGUGCAGGGAUGAAGCGGAAUGAAGCCACAAGCUCACCUGGGUGAUUUGGAAACCUGGCUAAAACCAUGGAGGCGGUGUGAUAAAUGUGGUGGACCCGUUGACCUCGCUGCAGACAAGACCAAAGGCAAAAGAUCCCCCAAAACAAACAGGAACUGAAGAUCUCUGUCAUUCAGCCCUGACCAGCAUGACCAGGGAAGAUAUGCAGAAUCUGGUGACAUGUAUGGAGGCCAGACUUAAGGCAGUCAUUGAAUCCAAAGGACUUGCAACCAAGUAUUAAAUAUGAUGACUUCAUUUAAGAUUAUCUUAAUUUGUCAGAUUAUGCUUGAGAGCUGCAAUUCCGACAUGGAGCAUCCUAUAUGAAUGCCUACAUAUUUAAGCACAGUCAACACUUUAACCUCAUAUUAAUAAUUUCAUUUGAAAACCAUACAUAUAUAUAUAUAUAUAUAUAUAUAUAUAUGGAACACUUCUGGGAGAAUCUGCUGUCCUCUUGGUUCCAUAGGCAUCUCAUGCAAUCAGUUUGGACAUACAUUAGGCUACUCUUUGUGUUCCCUUUCUUUGUCUUAGACUCUGUUAGGUUGUACAGAAGCUCAUUUAAGUGAAGGGGAUGAAGUCAGUUGAAGGUAAAACAACUUUUACACUCACUGUGUCUAUCUAAUGAUAAUGACAUGACCCUGAUUUCAGAUGUGCUUCUCCACAUUUAGAAUAUGCUUUUGAGGAAUUGUCCCUCUGAAUCGCCUGAAACAAACAAGAACUGAAGACUGCUGUACAGCGUCUUCAACCAAGUAUUAAAUAUGAUGACUAAAUAUGAUGACAUAUGAUAUUUACGAUUAUGUUAAUUUGUCAGAUUGCAUUUGAUAUCCCCCAAAAUGGGGGACUAUGUAUAAACAGAGCUGCAAUUCCUACAUGGAUCAUGUAACUACCUACAAAUGAAAGAGUCAGCACUUUAACCUCAUAUUCUUUUUUUCAUUUGAAAUCCAUAUCCGUAUCAUAUAUGUAUCA
Molecule: long non-coding RNA, 1349 nt
Organism: Conger conger (European conger)
Lineage: Eukaryota; Metazoa; Chordata; Actinopteri; Anguilliformes; Congridae
Exons: 4
Source: RefSeq, a predicted model, not a curated record